This 177-nucleotide non-coding RNA is filed under the name Anaerolineae bacterium. RNAcentral describes it as "6S RNA". It matches the Rfam family "6S / SsrS RNA". From Rfam's summary of the family: E. coli 6S RNA was the first non coding RNA to be sequenced, but its function was unknown until recently. Lineage: Bacteria; Bacillati; Chloroflexota; Anaerolineae. The record is from RNAcentral.
AAUGCCCUGCUGUGUGCGUAGUGUUGCGUAUACGUCCUGAACCAACACCCAUACGUGGGGUCCCAAUCUCACGGCAUACGACGCGAUAGGCCUGAGCCAAGGCGGAGUUGUCGGGGCGGGGCCCAACCUGCGUGAGCAGGUUCAGACCUUCGCAACAUACGGCAUGGCGGGGCAGUC